GUGAGGUAUACUGAUAAGUGUCUGUAAUUCUACCUAAUAUGGAGACUGGGGCAGGAGGAUAUCUUAAGUCAGGGGCUGUAGCGUGCUAUUAUGACUGGGUGUCUUUACCAAGUAUCAGUGGGAUUGCACUUAUGAAUAGCUAAAUGCACUCUAGCCUGGGCAACGUAGUGAGACCCUGUCCCAU
This 184-nucleotide small RNA is filed under the name Marmota monax (woodchuck). The record is from RNAcentral. Lineage: Eukaryota; Metazoa; Chordata; Mammalia; Rodentia; Sciuridae.